RNAcentral lists this ribosomal RNA (246 nucleotides) under uncultured bacterium. RNAcentral's name for it is "partial small subunit ribosomal RNA". It matches the Rfam family "Bacterial small subunit ribosomal RNA", at positions 26 to 291 of the family's 1533-position model. The record is from RNAcentral.
AGAACGAACGCUGGCGGCAGGCUUAACACAUGCAAGUCGAACGCCCCGCAAGGGGAGUGGCAGACGGGUGAGUAACACGUGGGAACAUACCCUUUGGUUCGGAAAAACUUCGGGAAACUGAGGCUAAUACCGGAUACGCCCUUGGACUUGUUCUGGGGGGAAAGAUUGAUCGCCGAAGGAUUGGCCCGCGUUCGAUUAGCUAGUUGGUACGGUAAUGGCGUACCAAGGCGACGAUCGAUAGCUGGU